GCGGAGGGUGCAAGCGUUGCUCGGAUUUACUGGGCGUAAAGCGUACGCAGACGGCCACGCAGGUCGGGUGUGAAAGCCCCGGGCUCAACCCGGGAAUUGCAUUCGAAACCAUGUGGCUCGAGUGUGGGAGAGGGUAGUGGAAUUCCUGGUGUAGAGGUGAAAUUCGUAGAUAUCAGGAGGAACACCGGCGGCGAAGGCGGCUACCUGGUCCACAACUGACGUUCAGGUACGAAAGCGUGGGGAGCAAACAGGAUUAGAUACCCUGGUAGUCCACGCUGUAAACGAUGAAUGCUGGAUGUCGGGGGUAUUCACCCCCUCGGUAUCGAAGCCAACGCGCUAAGCAUUCCGCCUGGGGAGUACGGCCGCAAGGUUG
RNAcentral lists this ribosomal RNA (373 nucleotides) under uncultured bacterium. RNAcentral describes it as "bacterial SSU rRNA". It matches the Rfam family "Bacterial small subunit ribosomal RNA", at positions 525 to 896 of the family's 1533-position model. The record is from RNAcentral.